UCCCUCUAGAUUCUUUACCCAUUAGAUCUAUAUAUUGGUGUGAAUGGCAAACAAAAGAGGAAAAAUAAAACUAAAAUGGACUUGGAGUCUUUAGUGACAUACAAGUUCAUUUCAAACAUGU
Molecule: small nucleolar RNA, 121 nt
Filed under: Echinops telfairi (small Madagascar hedgehog)
Lineage: Eukaryota; Metazoa; Chordata; Mammalia; Afrosoricida; Tenrecidae
Description: Small nucleolar RNA SNORA61 (ENSETEG00000026828.1)
Source: RNAcentral